This 1253-nucleotide long non-coding RNA is filed under the name Bemisia tabaci. RNAcentral describes it as "lncRNA ENSSSA1UGG011969". The record is from RNAcentral. Lineage: Eukaryota; Metazoa; Arthropoda; Insecta; Hemiptera; Aleyrodidae.
CGCGACGCAUUUCUCUCGACCACGUGAUAUUUUCAGAUCUAAUUUAGAUGAAAUUGGUGUCGCGCCAAUGUAAGUUAUCUGGAUGUCCUCCGGGUUUUUUUAUGUAAGCUCAGAUGAAAAUCCUUUGUGCUCGAAUGGGCCCUAAAUCUAACAAUCUUGCUCGUUUCGUAUAAAAGCACGAAGUUUCAGAUCAACUGCAUCCACUCUUUUGUGCUCUUCUCUUGUGAUACCUUCGCCAACCAACACCAACCCAAUCACCAUGAAAUUCCUCGUUGCUCUUCUCUUCGCGAUGGUCGCCAUCUCCGCCGUCGUAGGUAUGCAAUCCGAGGAACAGGUCCGUGACAAGCGGGCCAUCUACUACGGUGGAUACCCUUACGCCUACGCUCCGGCCGCCUACGGAGCUUACGGCUACGGUUACGCCCCAGCAGCCUACGGAAGCUACUACUGGUGAAAAUAACCCUCACACGUCGAAAGUUAUCUCCGUACGUCAUCGUUGAAAAAGAUGAAUGAUUUUGUUUUGAUCAAAUGCUCAAAUAAAGUCUAAUUUCUUGAUAACUGAACGAAUUGAUUCCAUUAUUUUAAUAAGAAUAAUUUUGAGAGAAAAUUUACUAAUUUUCAUCAAAAGUAAGAAAAAAAACGUAUUUCACCUCCAAAGUAUUGUAGCAAUAUUAUUAUUACGUUAAACAUCGUUGGGAAAAGGGCAGCAAGUUUUUCAUACGCUCAUGAAAAGCUGUUCGCAAGUUAUUUCGAUGAUGAUCUUCAAUGGACGUCGACUUUUGUUCUCAAGACCUUGCAACUCUUUUGAAAAUGAAUUCAGCAAUUGCAACGAGAAAGGCUUUUAAAAAAAAAAAAAAAAAUCAAAACUUUACAUGCAAAUGCACUUCAUAUGUCUCGCAAUGUAGAAAUGUUUAAGAGGAGUGACUCACACCGUGGCGUAGACCCAACAUUUCAGUCAAAAUAUCAAUCAAAAGACUAAUCAGCAAUAUUAACAGCACAGUUCAUAUUUACGGCUUCAAAGAUUCUUCUGUCGUAAGAAAGAAACUUCAUCAUGAGCACAGAUUACUCUGACGUUUAUGAACAGAGACAACUACAACCGUGACGAAAAUGAAACAAAAAUUAUAGAGACAGACUUUAUUCUUACCAGGGCUGAUUAUUGUUUUAUUGAUCUUUAUUGAAGUAUUUUUGGAGAGCAUGUGUAGCUUAUAUAACAUCCUGCAUUUGAGCAACCCCUCCUUACACGCACUCUUAGAAAC